This 549-nucleotide ribosomal RNA is filed under the name uncultured bacterium. Its description in RNAcentral is "bacterial SSU rRNA". It matches the Rfam family "Bacterial small subunit ribosomal RNA", at positions 355 to 896 of the family's 1533-position model. The record is from RNAcentral.
UAGGGAAUCUUCGGCAAUGGACGGAAGUCUGACCGAGCAACGCCGCGUGAGUGAAGAAGGUUUUCGGAUCGUAAAGCUCUGUUGUAAGAGAAGAACGAGUGUGAGAGUGGAAAGUUCACACUGUGACGGUAUCUUACCAGAAAGGGACGGCUAACUACGUGCCAGCAGCCGCGGUAAUACGUAGGUCCCGAGCGUUGUCCGGAUUUAUUGGGCGUAAAGCGAGCGCAGGCGGUUAGAUAAGUCUGAAGUUAAAGGCUGUGGCUUAACCAUAGUAGGCUUUGGAAACUGUUUAACUUGAGUGCAAGAGGGGAGAGUGGAAUUCCAUGUGUAGCGGUGAAAUGCGUAGAUAUAUGGAGGAACACCGGUGGCGAAAGCGGCUCUCUGGCUUGUAACUGACGCUGAGGCUCGAAAGCGUGGGGAGCAAACAGGAUUAGAUACCCUGGUAGUCCACGCUGUAAACGAUGAGUGCUAGGUGUUAGACCCUUUCCGGGGUUUAGUGCGUAGCUAACGCAUUAAGCACUCCGCCUGGGGAGUACGACCGCAAGGUUG